RNAcentral lists this ribosomal RNA (903 nucleotides) under uncultured Erysipelotrichaceae bacterium. RNAcentral's name for it is "bacterial SSU rRNA". It matches the Rfam family "Bacterial small subunit ribosomal RNA", at positions 8 to 921 of the family's 1533-position model. Lineage: Bacteria; Bacillati; Bacillota; Erysipelotrichia; Erysipelotrichales; Erysipelotrichaceae. The record is from RNAcentral.
AGAGUUUGAUCCUGGCUCAGGAUAAACGCUGGCGGCGUGCCUAAUACAUGCAAGUCGAACGGACAUAGCUUGCUAUGUCAGUGGCGAACGGGUGAGUAAUACAUAAGCAACCUGCCUACAGGGACCGGGAUAACACUUGGAAACGGGCGCUAAUACCGGAUAGGCAGGAUCGGGGCAUCCUGAUCCUGUUAAAGUUGAGAGACACAAGUAGAUGGGCUUAUGGCGCAUUAGCUGGUUGGUAGAGGUAACGGCCUACCAAGGCGAUGAUGCGUAGCCGGCCUGAGAGGGUGAACGGCCACAUUGGGACUGAGACACGGCCCAGACUCCUACGGGAGGCAGCAGUAGGGAAUUUUCGGCAAUGGAGGAAACUCUGACCGAGCAACGCCGCGUGAGUGAAGACGGUCUUCGGAUUGUAAAGCUCUGUUGUAAGGGAAGAAACUGCGGAUUGAUAAUCCGCACUGACGGUACCUUACCAGAAAGCCACGGCUAACUACGUGCCAGCAGCCGCGGUAAUACGUAGGUGGCGAGCGUUAUCCGGAAUUAUUGGGCGUAAAGGGUGCGUAGGCGGCGAAUUAAGUUUGUGGUGAAAGCGUGGGGCUCAACCCCAUAAAGCCACAGAUACUGAUUAGCUAGAGUACUGGAAAGGGAAGUGGAAUUCCAUGUGUAGCGGUAAAAUGCGUAGAUAUAUGGAGGAACACCAGUGGCGAAGGCGGCUUCCUGGCCAGAGACUGACGCUGAGGCACGAAAGCGUGGGGAGCAAAUAGGAUUAGAUACCCUAGUAGUCCACGCCGUAAACGAUGAAUGCUAAGUGUUGGGGAGACUCAGUGCUGCAGUUAACGCAAUAAGCAUUCCGCCUGUGGAGUAUGCACGCAAGUGUGAAACAUAAAGGAAUUGACGGGGGCC